RNAcentral lists this ribosomal RNA (361 nucleotides) under uncultured bacterium. Its description in RNAcentral is "partial 16S ribosomal RNA". It matches the Rfam family "Bacterial small subunit ribosomal RNA", at positions 338 to 696 of the family's 1533-position model. The record is from RNAcentral.
CCUACGGGUGGCAGCAGUGAGGAAUAUUGGUCAAUGGGCGGAAGCCUGAACCAGCCAAGUCGCGUGAGGGAAUAAGGCCCUACGGGUCGUAAACCUCUUUUGCCGGGGAGCAAGGUCGAGGACGUGUCCCGCCCCGGAGAGUACCCGCAUAAUAAGCAUCGGCUAACUCCGUGCCAGCAGCCGCGGUAAUACGGGGGAUGCGAGCGUUAUCCGUAUUGAUUGGGUUUAAAGGAUGCGUAGGCGGGCAUUUAAGUCAGCGGGAAAAUGUCGGGGCUAAACCGAGAGCGGCCGUUGAAACUGGGGGACUAGAGUGGGCGAGAGGAAAGCGGAAUGCGGGGUGUAGCGGUGAAAUGCGUAGAUA